AGAGUUUGAUCCUGGCUCAGGACGAACGCUGGCGGCGUGCCUAAUACAUGCAAGUCGAGCGAAUCGAUGGGAGCUUGCUCCCUGAGAUUAGCGGCGGACGGGUGAGUAACACGUGGGCAACCUGCCUAUAAGACUGGGAUAACUUCGGGAAACCGGAGCUAAUACCGGAUACGUUCUUUUCUCGCAUGAGAGAAGAUGGAAAGACGGUUUACGCUGUCACUUAUAGAUGGGCCCGCGGCGCAUUAGCUAGUUGGUGAGGUAAUGGCUCACCAAGGCGACGAUGCGUAGCCGACCUGAGAGGGUGAUCGGCCACACUGGGACUGAGACACGGCCCAGACUCCUACGGGAGGCAGCAGUAGGGAAUCUUCCGCAAUGGACGAAAGUCUGACGGAGCAACGCCGCGUGAGUGAUGAAGGCUUUCGGGUGUAAAACUCUGUUGUUAGGGAAGAACAAGUACGAGAGUAACUGCUCGUACCUUGACGGUACCUAACCAGAAAGCCACGGCUAACUACGUGCCAGCAGCCGCGGUAAUACGUAGGUGGCAAGCGUUAUCCGGAAUUAUUGGGCGUAAAGCGCGCGCAGGCGGU
RNAcentral lists this ribosomal RNA (587 nucleotides) under uncultured marine bacterium. RNAcentral describes it as "bacterial SSU rRNA". It matches the Rfam family "Bacterial small subunit ribosomal RNA", at positions 8 to 579 of the family's 1533-position model. The record is from RNAcentral.